RNAcentral lists this ribosomal RNA (381 nucleotides) under uncultured Polaribacter sp. RNAcentral describes it as "bacterial SSU rRNA". It matches the Rfam family "Bacterial small subunit ribosomal RNA", at positions 104 to 483 of the family's 1533-position model. Lineage: Bacteria; Pseudomonadati; Bacteroidota; Flavobacteriia; Flavobacteriales; Flavobacteriaceae. The record is from RNAcentral.
GGGUGCGUAACGCGUAUAGAACCUACCUUUUACAGAGGAAUAGCCUUUAGAAAUGAAGAUUAAUGCCUCAUAGUAUUGUAGACUGGCAUCAGUUUAUAAUUAAAGAUUUAUCGGUAAAAGAUGGCUAUGCGUCCUAUUAGUUAGUUGGUAAGGUAACGGCUUACCAAGACAGCGAUAGGUAGGGGUCCUGAGAGGGAGAUCCCCCACACUGGUACUGAGACACGGACCAGACUCCUACGGGAGGCAGCAGUGAGGAAUAUUGGACAAUGGAGGAGACUCUGAUCCAGCCAUGCCGCGUGUAGGAAGAAUGCCCUAUGGGUUGUAAACUACUUUUAUACAGGAAGAAACACUGGUAUGUAUACCAGCUUGACGGUACUGUAA